GACGAACGCUGGCGGCGUGCUUAACACAUGCAAGUCGAACGGAAAGGCCCUGCUUUUGUGGGGUGCUCGAGUGGCGAACGGGUGAGUAACACGUGAGUAACCUGCCCUUGACUUUGGGAUAACUUCAGGAAACUUGGGCUAAUACCGGAUAGGAGCUCCUGCUGCAUGGUGGGGGUUGGAAAGGUUCGGCGGUUAGGGAUGGACUCGCGGCUUAUCAGCUUGUUGGUGGGGUAGUGGCUUACCAAGGCUUUGACGGGUAGCCGGCCUGAGAGGGUGACCGGCCACAUUGGGACUGAGAUGCGGCCCAGACUCCUACGGGAGGCAGCAGUGGGGAAUAUUGCACAAUGGGCGGAAGCCUGAUGCAGCCAAGCCGCGUGCGGGAUGACGGCCUUCGGGUUGUAAACCGCUUUCGCCUGUGACGAAGCGUGAGUGACGGUAAUGGGUAAAGAAGCACCGGCUAACUACGUG
Molecule: ribosomal RNA, 468 nt
Filed under: uncultured bacterium
Lineage: Bacteria
Description: partial 16S ribosomal RNA
Rfam family: Bacterial small subunit ribosomal RNA
Source: RNAcentral